AGGAUGAACGCUGGCGGAGUGCCUAACACAUGCAAGUCGAGCGGCAGCGCGAAGAAUUUAUUCUUUGGCGGCGAGCGGCGGACGGCUGAGUAACGCGUGGGAACAUGCCCCAAAGUGAGGGAUAAGCAUCGGAAACGGUGUCUAAUACCGCAUAUGAUCUUCGGAUUAAAGGAUUUAUCCGCUUUGGGAAUGGCCUGCGUACGAUUAGAUAGUUGGUGAGGUAAAGGCUCACCAAGUCUACGAUCGUUAACUGGUUUGAGAGGAUGAUCAGUCAGACUGGAACUGAGACACGGUCCAGACUCCUACGGGAGGCAGCAGUGAGGAUCUCACAAUGGACGAAAGUCUAGAUGGAGCAACCUCCGCGUGCAGGGAUGGAACGGUCCGUUACGGGUCGUAAACGUUGUCUUUUAUGAGUAGAAGUAAUAGUGUAACGGUAACU
This 439-nucleotide ribosomal RNA is filed under the name uncultured soil bacterium. RNAcentral describes it as "bacterial SSU rRNA". It matches the Rfam family "Bacterial small subunit ribosomal RNA", at positions 26 to 480 of the family's 1533-position model. The record is from RNAcentral.